This 253-nucleotide ribosomal RNA is filed under the name uncultured bacterium. RNAcentral describes it as "partial 16S ribosomal RNA". It matches the Rfam family "Bacterial small subunit ribosomal RNA", at positions 524 to 776 of the family's 1533-position model. The record is from RNAcentral.
CACGUAGGGCGCAAGCGUUGUCCGGAAUUAUUGGGCGUAAGGAGCUCGUAGGCGGUCUGUUGCGUCUGCUGUGAAAACCCGGGGCUUAACCCCUGGCUUGCAGUGGAUACGGACAGACUAGAGGUAGGUAGGGGAGAAUGGAAUUCCCGGUGUAGCGGUGAAAUUCGUAGAUAUCGAGAGGAACACCAGUGGCGAAGGCGAGUCCCUGGACAACACCUGACACUGAGGCACGAAAGCUAGGGGAGCAAACAGG